GGGGAAUAUUGGACAAUGGGCGCAAGCCUGAUCCAGCCAUGCCGCGUGAGUGAAGAAGGCCUUAGGGUUGUAAAGCUCUUUCACCGGUGAAGAUAAUGACGGUAACCGGAUAAGAAGCCCCGGCUAACUUCGUGCCAGCAGCCGCGGUAAUACGAAGGGGGCUAGCGUUGUUCGGAAUUACUGGGCGUAAAGCGCAUGUAGGCGGGCUAUUAAGUUAGGGGUGAAAUCCCGGGGCUCAACCCCGGAACAGCCUUUAAGACUGGUAGUCUUGAGUAUGGAAGAGGUGAGUGGAAUUCCGAGUGUAGAGGUGAAAUUCGUAGAUAUUCGGAGGAACACCAGUGGCGAAGGCGGCUCACUGGUCCAUUACUGACGCUGAGAUGCGAAAGCGUGGGGAGCAAAC
Molecule: ribosomal RNA, 400 nt
Filed under: uncultured bacterium
Lineage: Bacteria
Description: bacterial SSU rRNA
Rfam family: Bacterial small subunit ribosomal RNA
Source: RNAcentral